This 2177-nucleotide long non-coding RNA is filed under the name Triticum aestivum (bread wheat). RNAcentral's name for it is "long non-coding RNA (TAES_LNC010603)". Lineage: Eukaryota; Viridiplantae; Streptophyta; Magnoliopsida; Poales; Poaceae. The record is from RNAcentral.
GAUUCUUGAGCCAGGACCAUGACGGCCGGGCGAGACGAGACCAAGAAAAAUCCCGCUCUUGAAAACACACACAGACGUAGGCAUUCUCAGCUAGGGAGAUCCGGCGCCACAAAGAAGUGGCGCCCAACUGUAAAACCAACCGUUUUUUAUCCUUUUUUCCUUGAGAUUUUCAUUGUUUUUGGCAACACCUAUACUAGUAUAGCAGGAGGAGAGAAGAAGACAGCAGACUGACAGGCCCUGAUUGGGGUGUAAGAUAGGCUGCCCGCCUGAAAGCAGGCUGGCAGCUAGGCCGAAUAAUCAAUGGAUCGCGGCAAAGGGCCAAAAGGAGGCCCCCGGGAGAGCGACCCCUCUGUAUUGUUUGUUACACGUCAAUGCAAACUGGAAAAUGGCUUUCGUUUCUUGUGUGGAUGGAAUGGCAUACGACUACGUACCUGUGAUCUGUUUCUGAAUAUACAAAAAGCAGUACUAGUACUAAUCAACUGUCUCGAUGCUACUCGUAGUUGAGAGUAGUAGUAAGCAACACUCGUUCCCGAUCGCCUCGUGCGUGUCCGUGCAUGCUUCGAAGCAACGAAGUCCACGCUGCACAAAGUAGAAAGUACACCUCCAUAAAAGAGUCAAUUACAUCACAGGUGUCUGAACUUGGCAAUAAAAGUCAGUUUGAUGCUAAAAUUUGUAAGAUACAUUGAACCGGUGACAAAACUUGGCUUGGACGUGCAUCUACGAUGUUAAUCAUGUUUUCUAUACGCACAACAUGUUGACGAGGCGCGCCAACAUGGCGUGGGACUCAAUGUAAGUGACAGGAAGGUGGGCACGGGCGUGUAGCCUGAUAUUUUGCAGAAACGACCUGAUAUUUUAUUUUUCUCAUAAAAGCCACUCAAUUUUUUUCUUAAAAUAACCCUGAAAUUUCACUAUGACAAUUGGGCCCCACCCGUCAGGGCGCAAUACAACAGAGAGAAAUGAGGACGCAAAAUGUAGCACGGCCCCCAGGUUCGAAUACAUGACAUACAUACCGCCAGCCCACACAGGCCAGCCACCACACCACAUACCAAUGCUGUACAAGUGGGAUUUCCACCCAUAAUGACCUAUAGACAAGCACACACAUAGGGCUUAAAUCGGCUACAGUCACCGCAUGCCAUUUUCACAUGUUAGUUUUUUUCAUAGCAUUUUGUAAGAAAAUGUAAAUUAAAAAGAUUAUACAUACAAAUAAAUUAACUUAAUUAAGAUGAUGUUUUUGUAAUUAUAAGAAAAAUAUUUAAGAUAAUUUUCAUGUAAUUCUAAAAAUAUAUUCUUAUUUAACAUAAUGGUCAUGUAAUUCUAAAAAUUAUGAUUAUUUAAAAUAAUGUUCAUGCAAUUCUCAAAACAUUAUUAUUUAAAUAAUGUUCGCUUAAUUCUAAAAGAUGUUCAUAUUUGAACAAAUGUUAAUGUUAUCCUAUUAAAUAUUCAAGUAUUAUUUGAAAAUGAUUUUAUAGUAAAAGUAAUAUUUAUGAAUUAUUUUCAUAAAUUAUAAAAAUAUUCAUGUCAUAUUAAUGUCUUCAGAAAAAUAUUCACAGAUUUUUAGGCUGUAUUCAUGCAUUCAGAUAAAUAUUCAUGUAUUCACUUUCCAAGAAAUAUUAUUACUUAAAAUACUGUUCACGUAAUUCUAAAAUAUAUUCAAGCAUUUACUAGAAAACAAUUAUAUAAUUUAAAUGAAUAUGAACUUAACCGUAUAUAUGAAUUAAAAACACUAUCAUUGUAGAAAUUGGCCGCGGUCACUGCAGACCAUUUAAGCCCAUCUGGGUCAUUACUUUUUUUGUUAGACAUGUACUCCCUCCGUUCCCAAAUAUAAGUCCUUUUAGAGAUUUCAAUAAGUGACUAUAUACGGAACAAAAUGAGUGAAUCUACUCUCUAAAAUAUGUCUACAUACAUCCAUACGUUUGAAAUGUCUAAAAAGGAGGGAGUAUGUUUCAUUAGGGUUAGCUAUCCAAUCAACAAAACCUGUUUGACUUGCCGUGGUGGCUAGCAGCUUCGGCUUGUUAUGAUGAGGUCCGCGUUCGAAUUCCUUACCUUUGCAUAUUCGUUUCCUCUUGUACUGUUUCCUGACGGGUGGGCUUCACUUUUUUUUAGGAAAAAAAAUCAAGGGGCUCUUUUGCGACGAGAAAAAAAUUUCCAGACUGUUUUCGCAAAAAACAAAAAAAAAA